UACGAAGGGGGCUAGCGUUGUUCGGAAUCACUGGGCGUAAAGCGCACGUAGGCGGAUCUUUAAGUCAGAGGUGAAAUCCCAAGGCUCAACCUUGGAACUGCCUUUGAUACUGGGGAUCUUGAGUCCGGGAGAGGUGAGUGGAACUGCGAGUGUAGAGGUGAAAUUCGUAGAUAUUCGCAAGAACACCAGUGGCGAAGGCGGCUCACUGGCCCGGGUACUGACGCUGAGGUGCGAAAGCGUGGGGAGCAAACAGG
Molecule: ribosomal RNA, 254 nt
Filed under: uncultured bacterium
Lineage: Bacteria
Description: partial 16S ribosomal RNA
Rfam family: Bacterial small subunit ribosomal RNA
Source: RNAcentral